GACGAACGCUGGCGGCGUGCUUAACACAUGCAAGUCGAACGGAAAGGCCCUGCUUUUGUGGGGUGCUCGAGUGGCGAACGGGUGAGUAACACGUGAGUAACCUGCCCUUGACUUUGGGAUAACUUCAGGAAACUGGGGCUAAUACCGGAUAGGAGCUCCUGCUGCAUGGUGGGGGUUGGAAAGUUUCGGCGGUUGGGGAUGGACUCGCGGCUUAUCAGCUUGUUGGUGGGGUAGUGGCUUACCAAGGCUUUGACGGGUAGCCGGCCUGAGAGGGUGACCGGCCACAUUGGGACUGAGAUACGGCCCAGAGUCAUACGGGAGGCAGCAGUGGGGAAUAUUGCACAAUGGGCGGAAGCAGGAUGCAGCAACGCCGCGUGCGGGAUGACGGCCUUCGGGUUGUAAACCGCUUUCGCCUGUGACGAAGCGUGAGUGACGGUAAUGGGUAAAGAAGCACCGGCUAACUACGUG
RNAcentral lists this ribosomal RNA (468 nucleotides) under uncultured bacterium. Its description in RNAcentral is "partial 16S ribosomal RNA". It matches the Rfam family "Bacterial small subunit ribosomal RNA", at positions 28 to 507 of the family's 1533-position model. The record is from RNAcentral.